CGACGUAAUCCCGCCAACCCCGCCAGGUCCGGAAGGAAGCAACGGUAACGGGCUAGUACGGGCGCAGUAGGUAACCCGGUACUU
Molecule: signal recognition particle RNA, 84 nt
Filed under: Acidobacteriota bacterium
Lineage: Bacteria; Pseudomonadati; Acidobacteriota
Description: partial signal recognition particle sRNA small type
Rfam family: Bacterial small signal recognition particle RNA
About the family: The signal recognition particle (SRP) is a universally conserved ribonucleoprotein involved in the co-translational targeting of proteins to membranes. Archaeal SRP consists of a 7S RNA and homologues of the eukaryotic SRP19 and SRP54 proteins. In most bacteria, the SRP consists of a 4.5S RNA and the Ffh protein (a homologue of the eukaryotic SRP54 protein).
Source: RNAcentral